CCCGACAGUUGCUGCUACCUUGACGUGGUGGUCGGGCUUGCCUAUCGUGAUGAACCAAUCGAGCCAUAGUGGCUGGAAUAAUCGUUCCUCAAGGUCCUACCAUACUAGGCAGGUCGAUUGAAGAGCGGUAAGACUAAAAGCAGC
RNAcentral lists this non-coding RNA (144 nucleotides) under Schistosoma mansoni. Lineage: Eukaryota; Metazoa; Platyhelminthes; Trematoda; Strigeidida; Schistosomatidae. The record is from RNAcentral.